RNAcentral lists this long non-coding RNA (204 nucleotides) under Elaeis guineensis (African oil palm). Its description in RNAcentral is "long non-coding RNA (EGUI_LNC002461)". Lineage: Eukaryota; Viridiplantae; Streptophyta; Magnoliopsida; Arecales; Arecaceae. The record is from RNAcentral.
GUGGGAAUCUUGUCAUACUUUUUAGAAUUUUUUUGCGUACAUACUCUCCUAAAUAUCAAAAUUUAUAGCAAUAUCCUCUCAAAAUUGAUAUUUACAUAUAUACCCUCAUAAAAUACUUAUUUUACGUAUAUAUCCCUCUUUUUCCUUUAUCAUAUAUGUGCAUCCGUACCAUCUAAUUGUGAAUAGAAGACCAUGGAUCGUGGC